GGGGGUGUAGCUCAGUGGUAGAGUGCUUAAGUAGCAUGAGUCCAAGGCCUUGGUUUGAUCCCCAGCACUGCCA
Molecule: transfer RNA, 73 nt
Filed under: Ictidomys tridecemlineatus (thirteen-lined ground squirrel)
Lineage: Eukaryota; Metazoa; Chordata; Mammalia; Rodentia; Sciuridae
Description: Spermophilus tridecemlineatus (thirteen-lined ground squirrel) tRNA
Rfam family: tRNA
About the family: Transfer RNA (tRNA) molecules are approximately 80 nucleotides in length. Their secondary structure includes four short double-helical elements and three loops (D, anti-codon, and T loops).
Source: Rfam by way of RNAcentral